AACGGUCUAUACCUGCGGUACCUGCGGAAGGAUCAUUACCGAGUUAUCAACUCCCAAACCCCUGUGAACAUACCCGAACGUUGCCUCGGCGGGACCGCCCCGGCGCCCCUAGCGGCCCGGAACCAGGCGCCCGCCGGAGGACCCAAACUCUUGCUUUAAACAGUGGCAUACUCUCUGAGUCUCACAAACAAAAAUAAAUCAAAACUUUCAGCAACGGAUCUCUAGAUCGGAAGAGCACAC
RNAcentral lists this unclassified non-coding RNA (240 nucleotides) under soil metagenome. Its description in RNAcentral is "partial contains 5.8S ribosomal RNA, internal transcribed spacer 2, and large subunit ribosomal RNA". The record is from RNAcentral.